GUAGUCUGCCAUACGCAGGAAGACCCGCUGAACUGAAGCAUCUCAUUAAGCGGAGGAAAAGAAACUAACUAGGAUUCCCUUAGUAAAGGCGAUCGAAAAGGGAACAGCCCAACGUCUUAAUCCCGCAAGGGAAAUGUAGUCGGUUCACCUAUUGCACUGGUCUAAGUCAGAUGGAAUGCUGCGCGAUUCAGAGUAAAAGCCUCGUAUGACCAACCGCAAGCUUACGAUGGACCGGGGAGAGUCGGAUACUUUGAGAGUAGUGUCUUAAGGGGGUGGUAUGUCCCAUCCAAGGCUAAAUAACGUGAGGAGACCGAUAGAUUACAAGUAGUGUGAACGAAAGAUGAAAAGAACUCUAAAACAGAGGGUGAAAAGUUCCUGAACUUGCUUAGGGUUAAGGCUAUUUAUAGUACCCGUCUUGAAACACGGAUUAGGGAGUUUAUCUGUAGUGCGAGUCUUUGCACGUUAACUGUAAAGGCGUAGAGAAAAGCAACUGGCGUUUGCAUGGCUACUGAGCAUUACUGAUAGGACCCGAAAAGUGGUGAACUUUGCCUGCACAGGUUGAAGUCAGGGGAAACUCUGAUGGAGGGACGUAC
Trichomonas vaginalis G3 is the source of this 593-nucleotide non-coding RNA. Lineage: Eukaryota; Parabasalia; Trichomonadida; Trichomonadidae. The record is from Rfam.